This 526-nucleotide ribosomal RNA is filed under the name uncultured bacterium. RNAcentral's name for it is "partial 16S ribosomal RNA". It matches the Rfam family "Bacterial small subunit ribosomal RNA", at positions 355 to 893 of the family's 1533-position model. The record is from RNAcentral.
UGGGGAAUAUUGCACAAUGGGCGAAAGCCUGAUGCAGCAACGCCGCGUGAGGGACGACGGCCUUCGGGUUGUAAACCUCUUUUAGCAAGGAAGAAGCGAAAGUGACGGUACUUGCAGAAAAAGCGCCGGCUAACUACGUGCCAGCAGCCGCGGUAAUACGUAGGGCGCAAGCGUUAUCCGGAAUUAUUGGGCGUAAAGAGCUCGUAGGCGGUUUGUCGCGUCUGCUGUGAAAACCCGAGGCUCAACCUCGGGCCUGCAGUGGGUACGGGCAGACUAGAGUGCGGUAGGGGAGAUUGGAACUCCUGGUGUAGCGGUGGAAUGCGCAGAUAUCAGGAAGAACACCGAUGGCGAAGGCAGAUCUCUGGGCCGUAACUGACGCUGAGGAGCGAAAGGGUGGGGAGCAAACAGGCUUAGAUACCCUGGUAGUCCACCCGUAAACGUGGGAACUAGUUGUGGGGUCCAUUCCACGGAUUCCGUGACGCAGCUAACGCAUUAAGUUCCCCGCCUGGGGAGUACGGCCGCAAGG